RNAcentral lists this small RNA (334 nucleotides) under uncultured Septoglomus. RNAcentral describes it as "SSU rRNA". It matches the Rfam family "Eukaryotic small subunit ribosomal RNA", at positions 548 to 886 of the family's 1831-position model. Lineage: Eukaryota; Fungi; Glomeromycota; Glomeromycetes; Glomerales; Glomeraceae. The record is from RNAcentral.
UUGGAGGGCAAGUCUGGUGCCAGCAGCCGCGGUAAUUCCAGCUCCAAUAGCGUAUAUUAAAGUUGUUGCAGUUAAAAAGCUCGUAGUUGAACCUCGGGAUCGAUGGAUCGGUCAUGCCAUCGGUAUGUACUGGUCCCAUCGGUUCUCACCUUCUAAGGAACCAUGAUGUCAUUCAUUUGAUGUUUUGGGGAAUUAGGACUGUUACCUUGAAAAAAUUAGAGUGUUUAAAGCAGGCCAACGCUUGAAUACAUUAGCAUGGAAUAAUGAAAUAGGACAUCGCAUUCUAUUUUGUUGGUUUCUAGGAUCGAUGUAAUGAUUAAUAGGGAUAGUUGGG